UAGGGAAUCUUCCACAAUGGGCGCAAGCCUGACGGAGCAACACCGCGUGAGUGAAGAAGGGUUUCGGCUCGUAAAGCUCUGUUGUUAAAGAAGAACACGUAUGAGAGUAACUGUUCAUACGUUGACGGUAUUUAACCAGAAAGUCACGGCUAACUACGUGUCAG
Molecule: ribosomal RNA, 164 nt
Filed under: uncultured bacterium
Lineage: Bacteria
Description: partial 16S rRNA
Rfam family: Bacterial small subunit ribosomal RNA
Source: RNAcentral